UAUAUUUCUUACUCCUCUUAUUAUGUUUUAUUUUAUUUGUUUAUUUAUUAAUUUCUAGAUUUUAAUGCUCUAUAAGUUUAUAUUACCUAGAUAGUUAGUUCUAAUGCUCUUAUUAUGUUUUAUUUUAUUUGUUUACUUAUCAAUUUCUGGAUUUUAAUGCUCUUAUUAUGUUUUAUUUUAAUUGUUUAUUUAUCAAUUUCUGGAUUUUAAUGCUCUCUAUCAUGGAUCUAUCAUGAUUAUGCAUAUAUUUUUGUUUUCCUUCUUGUGUACCUCAUGUUUAUAUGGGUUGUACCCUUGUUUUGGCGCCUUUUAAUGAUAUUUUACCACUUCCCCCCUCCCUACCAAAAAAAGAGAGAGCCUAUGCAUCAAGUACAUAUAUUUUGUUUUGCAGAUAUUUUUUUUAAAGGACCAUUUGUUUUUACCAGUAAUUGGCCUUGCAUGUGUUUUGUUUAAUUUAUCCAGAGACAGCCUCAUCACUUUGUUCUCUCAUUUACCAAAAUUUGUUAGAUAAAUGAAAAUUCUUUCUCCACAAAGGGAGUGGAAUGAAAAUUAAAUUUGAUUAUACAAUUUUUGAAAUAUAAUUCACUGGAGGCUGGGGAUUGAUGGAUGAAACAAUUCUGAAAACGCUGUUCAUGACACAUUUUAUUCGUUUGUGACUUUUUAAAAUGUGUCAAUUAUGUGUGCAUGAGCUGGUUAUCACUACAAGAAAUUAGGCUAUUCCACCGUCACAACUCACAAAGCUCGAUCUUUAGUUCUUCACCUCUUCUGUUCUUCUCAACGGCGCCCUGCUCUACUACCUAAUAGCAACCUUUGGAAGGUUUCUUCCGUUUCCAGCCAAGCCAACCUCCUAAUCUCAGUAGAGGCAAGCAAAAUUUCUUUCGUACUUUUCCUGUUUGCCAUUUUUCAUGAUCCUCACCCUAGUUUUUUCUAGGGUUUUGAAAUUACAAAAGGCCUAUUGAAGGGGUAAAUUACAAAUCUGGAAAAGGCUUGUAAUCUCCAAACAAACAUGCUCAAAAGAUUGAAACAGGGAAUAGAGCAAGUUAUAACAAUCUUAGAUCACAAGUAGGCUUGAAAUAUCUUAAACCCUAGUCUUCAGUUAAAUCACCUGAAACUUGAGUUAAUUCUGGUUCUUACAGCUUCACAUACUCACAAUGCACUAACUCAAUUAGAUACUCUAGUUCUUUCAACAAGAGACACAGUUGUAGUGCACAAUAAGUGCUAGGACAGAACUGACAUCAGUUUUACACUUGAAUUUUGCACAAGUGAGAAUAAGCAGGUCUAUCUGCAAUGUAGGUGAAAGUAGGCCUUGAUUCAAGUUCCCACAACACUAAAUAAAUGAAACUUGUUCAGAAUGAUACUCUUCAGUGUAUAGUAAGUUUACUUCAAAUUGCAGCUCAAAAUAAGUCACAACAAAGUUUGAGCUGAAACUUUGUUCUUAGGGACUAAAUCGUAAUUUUACUUCCUUACAGCCUUGAACUUGAUUCCAAACACCUCAAUCCAGUUAUAUAUAUAUGCUCAGAAGGUAAUCACAGCAAAACUAGCAAUAUGAAUCAACUAGAAUGAGUUUAAAACUUUAUGUAGGCUAUUUUAUUCAAUAAGGCUGUUUUGUUUGGUUUGAGAGUUCAAAACCAAAUACACUCAAUUUUCAGUCUUGAUCUUUGUCAACAGAGCUCUAUAAUGAUUAAAUAUACUUGUUCAAAGCAUAAACUCAACACAUACAAGAAGUAAUCAACAUAAAACAGUCCAUUAGAGGCUAUGCACCAGAAAAGUAGGCUGAAACUGAGAUAUGAGUACUCAUAUUGUUUUCUGUGCAAAAUUAGGCAUAUACCUGAGUUCUGCAGAUGUAAAUAAAUGCACCAAGCUUGCUUCAACCAUCACACAGCACUUGGAACCUCUACAACCAAUUUUGACCCUUCAAUCCAGCCUCAACAUCAACAUAAAUGCAUUAGAAAAUUCUGCUUCACAGGUUUAGAAAUUCUUCAGUGGAUUAGUGCACUCUCAUAGUGAUUUCAUAGAUUAAAUUAGCUCAGAACUUCAAUUAAUCUCUCUGAAAGUGACUCAUCUCGAGCCUCAUACUCAAUGCAGCUCAAUAUAUAAAAAGAGGCUCAAUAUUUGCACACAUAGGUGCUGCUCUAUAACAGUAUAUUUAUACACUGAAUUUGCUGCCCUAGUGUGAAUAAGAAUAUUCCCCAUUUAACCAAUCAUAGAUAGGAAUAUAUACAGAAAUUAUAUACCAUGAAUGGACCAAACAAUCCCUGUACAAGCCUAGCUUGUGUCACACCAACCACUUUUUCUGCAGCCCUCACAGGUCAAUGAACAAUGCUAAAAUUUACAACAAAGAAUUGUAUUUCUGUGCAUAUUUUUCUCUCACCAGGACCACUAUGCACGUGGCACAUUGUUGUGAACCCUUUAACAGCCUUGAGAUAUCAAUGUAGUACCAGAAUUGCCCUUGGAAUGAUACACUUUGUGUAUACAAGCUAAAUGAUGAUAUUCAGCAAAUUUUUCUGAAGCAAAGAUACAAUGCACCUUCAGAAAAUGUUUCCAAUCAUACACUGCAGUUUAGAUUGAUCAAAAUACCCCUAAGGAUGCAGCUGAGAUUACAUAAUUGCCCUUCACUGAUGACACUUGUCACUUUAAACCAGAUGAUACUUACUGUAGCCCUUGAAAGUGACCAGAUGAUGCUUGCUGCAGCCCUUGAAUUUGUGAUUCAACCUUGAUUCAACCUUUAAUAUAAUAUCUGUAGUGCAAUGUAGUAUCAAAGACAAGUGUAGCAAUAUUGCUCCCAUGUAUAGAAAGACUAAUAUGCCCCUGUGUUAAGACUUGUAUUCAAGAACAAACCUUAAGAUAGGUGAUACCAUUUAGCCUCAAGAUUAGUAUUUUUCAUUCAAAGAGAAAACCAGAUCAACAGAAUUCCACAGGAAAAUAGUAAGUCAAGAAAGGCAAGAAAGUCAAGAAAGGCAAAACGAAGAAGAUGAGGAAGUUGAAAGUCCUGAGGAGGGUCCUGCUAUUCGCAUGUACAAGGACACGCAUUUUUGGGAAGAAACUGGAUGGGUAAACGAGAGAGCUAAGCAGAACUACGAUGAAAUGAAACAGAAGUUUUCACAAGUUUUUCACAAUUCUGAUGGUAUCAGUCCUGUCAUAAAUGAUGUUGAGAUAGUGGAAAACCAAUUAGGUAUCAGAAAGGGAUAUCGUCGUGGGUUCGGAAAUGGUUUUGUAGCUCCAAGCCAUCAACGUGCAUCCUCAUCUUUUGAAGAGGCUUCUAGAAAAAGGGUAAAAAAUGUUGAAGAAGAUAAUGCACAACUUAGAGAGAAAGUUACAAAUUUGGAGGAGAAGUUGGAUACAUUUCAGCACCUCAUUGAGCAGCAAUAGCAACUCCUUCAGCAGCAACAACAGCAGCAAAAACAACUCCAACAACUCCUUGAGCAGCAACAACAGAACCAACAACCGCCACCACGAUUCCACCAACAGCAGCAAGCCCCACCAAGCUGGUAUCAGCAGCCGCCAACAUGGUGGCAAUUUCAUCACCACCACAACAGUCACCUGAAUGAACUAUAACGAUAAUUAUUUUGGUGGAUAUAUUUUGGAGCUUUUUGAUGGCUAGCUAGCUGAUUUCUAACUAUUUUGGUAGUGUAUUUUUUUCCCUGCAUUUUCAUGAUUGCAUUCAGUUUAAAAUGAUAUUUUAAUUUUUGAGGAUAUUUGGAACCAUUUGAUGUUAAAGCAACUAGUAGAUACUUUUAGCUCUUCUUUACAAAACUGGAGAAUUUGUAGUUUCAUCAUGAGAUUAAGAGCUUGUUUGUUGGCACCGUAUUAUGGUGGUAAUU
Cornus florida is the source of this 3821-nucleotide long non-coding RNA. RefSeq lists it as uncharacterized. Lineage: Eukaryota; Viridiplantae; Streptophyta; Magnoliopsida; Cornales; Cornaceae. The record is from RefSeq and is a predicted model, not a curated record. The transcript is spliced from 2 exons.